GGGGUCAUGGCUCAGUGGUAGAGCAUUCGCUUGUCAAGCCGGAGGUCCCAGGUUCAAUCCCUGGCGUCUUCA
Molecule: non-coding RNA, 72 nt
Organism: Gekko japonicus
Lineage: Eukaryota; Metazoa; Chordata; Lepidosauria; Squamata; Gekkonidae
Source: the annotation of a RefSeq genome assembly